GAAUUAUAUUGAUUCUGCAGUCCAUGGCAGGGAGAAUACAUGAACACACCUGACUUGUUUUCCUUCUAUUUUGUAUGGGACAGGCAUAGGAAUUACCGAUUGCGGAGGUUGCAAUCCGCCAAAAGUUACCAAGGAAGAAUCCGGGCCAAAACCACUUUCAGAGUUCAUGCCACCCUCCCCUCUCUCCUUGCUGGAAGAAGAAAGUUGUGCCAAUCAAAAUAUUAAUGAGGACCUCACUUUUAUUGAGUUCUAUGGUGACAAGGUUAUGUCGUCAAUGCAAUGGGUUAUAGACGAGUUUUGGAUUCAAUGUUUGCAUGCUAUCCAAUAUUUUGAACUAUGGUGAAUCCUGGACAACUUAAUGCAGGCAUGUUUGUGAUAAGAAUUAAUGAGAAGUAACUCAUUAAACAAUAUAUAAAGAAACUCUUAACGAG
Homalodisca vitripennis (glassy-winged sharpshooter) is the source of this 431-nucleotide long non-coding RNA. RefSeq lists it as uncharacterized. NCBI's taxonomy places the organism in Eukaryota, Metazoa, Arthropoda, Insecta, Hemiptera, Cicadellidae. The record is from RefSeq and is a predicted model, not a curated record. The transcript has 3 exons.